CUUCCCCCCACCACCACCAGCCGAACCCCCUAGCGAACUUACACCACCACCGAACGAACGAACCCCCUUAAAGUUGGACACCAAAAAUAAGAAACAGCACGAAGGAGAGAAGAGAGAGAGAAAACCAAAAAAGUCAGCACAAGAGUCGGUUCGUUUCUUUUCUUUUUUAGUAUCGUCACCGGUUACAUCGAGUGCUGAAGUUUGUGCGUGCGUGAGAGUGGUUAACAUUGCGGAGAUGAGCGUGGGCAGCGAGCAGAACACAACCGAAGCGUAUUAUUAACCAUUCGGGAAAUUUUCUUUCGAAAAGGAGCGCCACACGCUUCUCGUGAAAAAUACACACGACGACCUCACUGUGUGUGUGUAUGAGAGAGAGAAGGUAAUGUUAUUACUAUACUACGAAGAGAGAGGUCUAACUAAGGUGUGCCAUGAGAGCACAGGGCGCCCCUUCUCUCUCUCUCUCUUCUCUUUCGAGUUUUUAACGUCUUCCGUGAAUGGACCGGCCAUUCAUUCAACAGUUGAGGUGUGUGAGGAGUUGCGCAGAUCUGGUCUGGGACUCGUUCCAUCAAAAGCCUCGUCCCGGCGUCGUCCCAGCGUCGUUGUGUUUUUUUUUCCCCUCCGACAGUGUUGGAGGGAGACAAAUUUAAUUUCGGGAAUUUGAAUCGUUUGUGGUUGUGAGUGCGUGUAACGUUGAUGAACUACAAUGAUUUGAAAAUGUGUUCUCGUUGUGGAAUCUCCAAUGGAACGGAAAAUGGAUUAAAGUCGUCGACACGCUCCGAAAUCAACGGAUCGGCGCUGUUGGAGUCGAGUCGCCCGACUUGCUGUAAACCACUUCCUCCCAUCCGCCCGAGUCGAGAUGGAUGAAGGCGGAUCGCUGAGCAGGAGAAGAUGUGGACGACGUCGAGGAGGAGAACGCCGCGACGGCGGGUGCGCCAGUCGCACUGGCGGAAGAGUCUUCAGAAUGGCCAAUCACCCGCUCCGGAUGGGCCAGCAGUUGUUCCGUUUCGGCCAGGAGAAGAAGAAAAAGGUGAAGACCUUCCAUUCUUCUCUCGUCGGCGGAUGAUUUAUAUGCAGAUUGCUACUCACUCUUGGCCGAGAGGAGGCAAGAUGGAUGGACAAACAUAUUACAUCUAGGCCUGUACACGAAGAAAAGCUGUUGUGUGUGGUUUGACGAGUCGAAAAAAAAAACCGAACCAACUCCUCCCGAAAAAAAUAAGAAGCUGAUGGCGGACGCCGCCUCGUCAUCCGCGUCUACCGAUCCCGCAACCCGCGCGUCCCAGGACUUUCCGUCCCAAUUUGAGAAUUAAACAAAACAAAUUUUCUCAGAAAAGUGACGUCGGGAGAUUUGGUGAUGUUGAUCAAAUAAAAGAAGAAGAA
This is a long non-coding RNA of Daphnia pulex (common water flea), 1374 nucleotides long. RefSeq lists it as uncharacterized. The record is from RefSeq and is a predicted model, not a curated record. The transcript has 4 exons. NCBI's taxonomy places the organism in Eukaryota, Metazoa, Arthropoda, Branchiopoda, Diplostraca, Daphniidae.